This 21-nucleotide non-coding RNA is filed under the name Caenorhabditis elegans. The record is from RNAcentral. Lineage: Eukaryota; Metazoa; Nematoda; Chromadorea; Rhabditida; Rhabditidae.
UCCUGAAUCAUUUCCGCAAUA